Molecule: ribosomal RNA, 478 nt
Filed under: uncultured bacterium
Lineage: Bacteria
Description: bacterial SSU rRNA
Rfam family: Bacterial small subunit ribosomal RNA
Source: RNAcentral
CGAGGACGAACGCUGGCGGCACGCUUAACACAUGCAAGUCGAACGGAGUUUUGAGAGCUUGCUUUAAAAACUUAGUGGCGGACGGGUGAGUAACACGUGAGCAAUCUGCCUUCAGAGGGGGAUAGCAGUUGGAAACGACUGAUAAUACCGCAUAAUAUAUACGGACCGCAUGAUCUGUAUAUCAAAGAUUUAUCGCUGAAAGAUGAGCUCGCGUCUGAUUAGAUAGUUGGUGAGGUAACGGCUCACCAAGUCGACGAUCAGUAGCCGGACUGAGAGGUUGAACGGCCACAUUGGGACUGAGACACGGCCCAGACUCCUACGGGAGGCAGCAGUGGGGAAUAUUGCACAAUGGGCGCAAGCCUGAUGCAGCGAUGCCGCGUGAGGGAAGAAGGUUUUAGGAUUGUAAACCUCUGUCUUUGGGGACGAUAAUGACGGUACCCAAGGAGGAAGCUCCGGCUAACUACGUGCCAGCAGCCGC